CCAGCUCCAAUAGCGUAUAUUAAAGUUGUUGCAGUUAAAAAGCUCGUAGUCGAAAUUCUGGCUGGUCCUGUUUCCGGCUUCGGUCGACUCAGGACCUAGUCAUCCGUCGGAGAACCCUUGUCGUCCUUCACUGGUCGCUUGGGGGAACUGACCCUUUACUUUGAAAAAAUUAGAGUGUUUCAGGCAGGCUCUCGCCCGAAUACUCCAGCAUGGAAUAAUGGAAUAGGACUUUCUUCUAUUUUGUUGGUUAUUAGUAGAAAGUAAUGAUUAAUAGGGACAGUUGGGGGCAUUCGUACUUAAUUGUCAGAGGUGAAAUUCUUGGAUUUAUUAAAGACGAACUAAUGCGAAAGCAUUUGCCAAGGAUGUUUUCA
Molecule: ribosomal RNA, 371 nt
Filed under: uncultured Platyophrya
Lineage: Eukaryota; Ciliophora; Colpodea; Cyrtolophosidida; Platyophryidae
Description: SSU rRNA
Rfam family: Eukaryotic small subunit ribosomal RNA
Source: RNAcentral